Molecule: ribosomal RNA, 431 nt
Filed under: uncultured bacterium
Lineage: Bacteria
Description: partial 16S ribosomal RNA
Rfam family: Bacterial small subunit ribosomal RNA
Source: RNAcentral
AACGAACGCUGGCGGCAGGCUUAACACAUGCAAGUCGAGCGCCCCGCAAGGGGAGCGGCAGACGGGUGAGUACCGCGUGGGAACGUACCUUUUGGUUCGGAACAACUCCGGGAAACUGGAGCUAAUACCGGAUAAGCCCUAACGGGGAAAGAUUUAUCGCCGAAAGAUCGGCCCGCGUCUGAUUAGCUAGUUGGUGAGGUAACGGCUCACCAAGGCGACGAUCAGUAGCUGGUCUGAGAGGAUGAUCAGCCACACUGGGACUGAGACACGGCCCAGACUCCUACGGGAGGCAGCAGUGGGGAAUAUUGGACAAUGGGCGCAAGCCUGAUCCAGCCAUGCCGCGUGAGUGAUGAAGGCCUUAGGGUUGUAAAGCUCUUUUGUCCGGGAAGAUAAUGACUGUACCGGAAGAAUAAGCCCCGGCUAACUUCGUG